UCCUCAAAAAACAACACCAGCUUAUUUAGG
Molecule: non-coding RNA, 30 nt
Filed under: Mus musculus (house mouse)
Lineage: Eukaryota; Metazoa; Chordata; Mammalia; Rodentia; Muridae
Source: RNAcentral